Molecule: ribosomal RNA, 1445 nt
Filed under: Enterococcus faecalis
Lineage: Bacteria; Bacillati; Bacillota; Bacilli; Lactobacillales; Enterococcaceae
Description: partial 23S ribosomal RNA
Rfam family: Bacterial large subunit ribosomal RNA
Source: RNAcentral
AUAUGGUAGUCUGUUAGUAUAGUUGAAGGAUUUGGAAAAUUCCGCUAAAGAGGGUGAAAGCCCCGUAGACGAAAUGCUGACAACACCUAGGAGGAUCCUGAGUACGGCGGAACACGAGAAAUUCCGUCGGAAUCCGCGGGGACCAUCCCGCAAGGCUAAAUACUCCCUAGUGACCGAUAGUGAACCAGUACCGUGAGGGAAAGGUGAAAAGCACCCCGGAAGGGGAGUGAAAUAGAUCCUGAAACCGUGUGCCUACAACAAGUCAAAGCUCGUUAAUGAGUGAUGGCGUGCCUUUUGUAGAAUGAACCGGCGAGUUACGAUUGCAUGCGAGGUUAAGUCGAAGAGACGGAGCCGCAGCGAAAGCGAGUCUGAAUAGGGCGAAUGAGUAUGUAGUCGUAGACCCGAAACCAUGUGAUCUACCCAUGUCCAGGUUGAAGGUGCGGUAAAACGCACUGGAGGACCGAACCCACGUACGUUGAAAAGUGCGGGGAUGAGGUGUGGGUAGCGGAGAAAUUCCAAACGAACUUGGAGAUAGCUGGUUCUCUCCGAAAUAGCUUUAGGGCUAGCCUCGGAAUUGAGAAUGAUGGAGGUAGAGCACUGUUUGGACUAGGGGCCCAUCUCGGGUUACCGAAUUCAGAUAAACUCCGAAUGCCAUUCAUUUAUAUCCGGGAGUCAGACUGCGAGUGAUAAGAUCCGUAGUCGAAAGGGAAACAGCCCAGACCACCAGCUAAGGUCCCAAAAUAUAUGUUAAGUGGAAAAGGAUGUGGGGUUGCACAGACAACUAGGAUGUUGGCUUAGAAGCAGCCACCAUUUAAAGAGUGCGUAAUAGCUCACUAGUCGAGUGACCCUGCGCCGAAAAUGUACCGGGGCUAAACAUAUUACCGAAGCUGUGGACUACACCAUUAGGUGUAGUGGUAGGAGAGCGUUCUAAGGGCGUUGAAGGUCGAUCGUGAGGACGGCUGGAGCGCUUAGAAGUGAGAAUGCCGGUAUGAGUAGCGAAAGACAGGUGAGAAUCCUGUCCACCGUAUGACUAAGGUUUCCUGGGGAAGGCUCGUCCGCCCAGGGUUAGUCGGGACCUAAGCCGAGGCCGAUAGGCGUAGGCGAUGGACAACAGGUUGAUAUUCCUGUACCAGUUGUUUUUGUUUGAGCAAUGGAGGGACGCAGUAGGCUAAGGAAUGCAUGCGAUUGGAAGUGCAUGUCCAAGCAAUGAGUCUUGAGUAGAGUUAAAUGCUUUACUCUUUAAGGACAAGUUGUGACGGGGAGCGAAAUAAUAGUAGCGAAGUUCCUGAUGUCACACUGCCAAGAAAAGCUUCUAGUGAGAAAACAACUGCCCGUACCGUAAACCGACACAGGUAGUCGAGGAGAGUAUCCUAAGGUGAGCGAGCGAACUCUCGUUAAGGAACUCGGCAAAAUGACCCCGUAACUUCGGGAGAAGGGGUGCUGAC